This 501-nucleotide ribosomal RNA is filed under the name uncultured bacterium. RNAcentral describes it as "partial 16S ribosomal RNA". It matches the Rfam family "Bacterial small subunit ribosomal RNA", at positions 30 to 523 of the family's 1533-position model. The record is from RNAcentral.
AUUGAACGCUGGCGGCAGGCUUAACACAUGCAAGUCGAGCGGGGGAAGGUAGCUUGCUACCGGACCUAGCGGCGGACGGGUGAGUAAUGCUUAGGAAUCUGCCUAUUAGUGGGGGACAACAUCUCGAAAGGGAUGCUAAUACCGCAUACGUCCUACGGGAGAAAGUAGGGGAUCUUCGGACCUUGCGCUAAUAGAUGAGCCUAAGUCGGAUUAGCUAGUUGGUGGGGUAAAGGCCUACCAAGGCGACGAUCUGUAGCGGGUCUGAGAGGAUGAUCCGCCACACUGGGACUGAGACACGGCCCAGACUCCUACGGGAGGCAGCAGUGGGGAAUAUUGGACAAUGGGGGGAACCCUGAUCCAGCCAUGCCGCGUGUGUGAAGAAGGCCUUAUGGUUGUAAAGCACUUUAAGCGAGGAGGAGGCUACUUUAGUUAAUACCUAGAGAUAGUGGACGUUACUCGCAGAAUAAGCACCGGCUAACUCUGUGCCAGCAGCCGCUGUAA